UGUGUGUGUUCAUAGAUACUAGAUUGGGAGGUUAAAAAAGUUAAUCAUCGGACAACCCUAGGUGUAAAAAGCUAAAUCCAUCGUAACUUCUGAACCUAGUGUUUUUCCAUCCUUAAAUAUUUUUUCAAAGCAUGUGUACACAAUGUACACAUUUGUACUGUUUUGUUGACUGUAUUUAAACAAAACUUACCAAUCUUGUGACUUUUAAUACUGUGGUUGAUAAUGUCAUGUAUGUCUUGAUUCUGUGUCUGUUGCCAUGCUGGUUGUUUCUUUUACAGAGUUGGCUGCUGCCUGCACAGAUGAUGAAAGCCUAACAACUUGGAACAUGUUUCUCGAACUCACUGCAGGCUAUCCAUGCUAUCAAGAAACUCAAUUCUUCACUCCGACCACUGUAGGUCAGCCAUGUGAUAGCAACUAUUAUCUUCAAUCUGUUAUCAAUGUGACUGCACAGUUACUCCAUAUACGGCAGGUUAUCUAUUUGUAAUCCAUCUCCGGGAUCUACCUCGGGAAGACGGCUAUGAUGAUAUGAUGAUAUAUCUAUUUGUGUUCUCACUGCUUCACUCCAACCACUGUAGGUCAUCUAUGUGACAGCAACUAUUAUCUUCAUUGGAGUUGGCUGCUGCAUGAACAGAUAAUGAAAGCCUAACAACUUGGAACAUGUCUAGAAAUUCACUGCAGGCUAUCCAUGUGACUGUCAAGGUUGUGCUAUCUAGAAACUCAAUGCAUUCACUCCAACCACUGUAGGUCAACCGUGUGAGAGCCACUAUUGUCUUCAAUGGGUAAGUCUUGAAGUUUUAUCCCAUAUCUACUAAGUUUGACCAUAGAGAAAGGCUGGGACGUAUGUAAGAACUGCAACACCAACUUUUGCAACCUUCAAUGGCCCUGUGUGCACACUGAUCGCCACAGCAAAACUUCUCUGGUAAUCGGGAAACUGACCAAUAUUGCUGCAGCGAGACCGAGAUGGUAAAACAUUUUCGGCAAAAUAAUCAACAAAUUUUGGCAAGUUUGAAGUUUUAUCCCAUAUCUAUACUCAAAUUCAACUUUACUUUGUCUCAUCAUACAAAACUUGUCCCAUUCACUAAUAAGGCCAUAUCUCUCUCCAUCAUUUUUACCUGAUCCAAUCCUUGCACACUUGCAACUGAAGUCGUUAUAUUUUUCAGUUUUAAGUUGUUCCCAGGCUGAUUUGUUGUCAUUCAUGAAAUGUCAAAGUUUGUGCCAUUCUUUGAACAAAUUGCAAAUCUAUUGGUAGUUCAACUCAAUUGUUUCAAUAGAAUAAAUUGUUCUCUCUGUGAACUUUUUUAAAACUGAAUGUUUGUGUUGAAAUUGGCAAUAUAAUCAAGGGCUGGUCGCUGGAGCCAUGCCCCUCCUGUGAUAUUUUUUUCCAGCU
This is a long non-coding RNA of Asterias rubens (European starfish), 1387 nucleotides long. RefSeq lists it as uncharacterized. Lineage: Eukaryota; Metazoa; Echinodermata; Asteroidea; Forcipulatida; Asteriidae. The transcript has 3 exons. The record is from RefSeq and is a predicted model, not a curated record.